Long non-coding RNA from Aphis gossypii (cotton aphid), 697 nucleotides. RefSeq lists it as uncharacterized. The transcript has 3 exons. Lineage: Eukaryota; Metazoa; Arthropoda; Insecta; Hemiptera; Aphididae. The record is from RefSeq and is a predicted model, not a curated record.
ACAAAAAAAUAUCAGAUAAAUGAUGAUACUUAAUUAAAACUAUACAUAAUCUAUCAAUAAAUUUACAUAGUACGUUUAAGGACUUAUGUAAAAUACUCAAUAAAUUGAACACUAUAAUUCCUAGUUGAACUCAACUGUGACUGGUGUAAUCAAUGAGGAUCACUUAUACAAUUAAUUUAAAUACAAUCAUGAAAGUUACAAUUCAAAAUGAAUUUCGACAUGUGUCGAUGGUUUGACGUGUGUAGUACAAGAUACAGUCAGAACAGUUGUCCACACGGUCGGACGUUAUUGUCGACGUCUAGACCACUGUCAAACGUUGGUCUGCCAAUGCUUGUCGUAUGGGGUGAUAGUAAAAACAGUCAAAACUGAUACUCAGAAUACCAACCGUGACAGGAUAUGCCACCAAAUAUGCGAUAAAUAAUAUCGACGUAAUUAAUUCAUGAAAUCGUAUUGUCAGCACAGAGGUAACUAACCAAAUGUUCAAGAUUUGCCCUUAAAAACUAUCGAAGACUAGAUAGUAUGAAACGACCACAGUAAAUGGAAUAGGUAUGAUGUAUGAUUUCAUAAAUAUGUCAACAACAAAAAAUAUAUCAUUGAAUUAUAAAUUAUAAUUCCUUCUUUAAAGAUUAAAUAAAUUAUAAAAGACGAAAACAAACAAUAAGAAUCUUUCACCAAUAAUUAGACACAAUUCAUUAUU